GCAACGCCGCGUGAGUGAAGAAGGGUUUCGGCUCGUAAAACUCUGUUGUUGAAGAAGAACACAUCUGAGAGUAACUGUUCAGGUGUUGACGGUAUUUAACCAGAAAGCCACGGCUAACUACGUGCCAGCAGCCGCGGUAAUACGUAGGUGGCAAGCGUUGUCCGGAUUUAUUGGGCGUAAAGCGAGCGCAGGCGGUUUCUUAAGUCUGAUGUGAAAGCCUUCGGCUUAACCGGAGAAGUGCAUCGGAAACUGGGAGACUUGAGUGCAGAAGAGGACAGUGGAACUCCAUGUGUAGCGGUGAAAUGCGUAGAUAUAUGGAAGAACACCAGUGGCGAAGGCGGCUGUCUGGUCUGUAACUGACGCUGAGGCUCGAAAGCAUGGGUAGCGAACAGGAUUAGAUACCCUGGUAGUCCAUGCCGUAAACGAUGAAUACUAGGUGUUGGAGGGUUUCCGCCCUUCAGUGCCGCAGCUAACGCAUUAAGUAUUCCGCCUGGGGAGUACGACCGCAAGGUUGAAACUCAAAGGAAUUGACGGGGGCCCGCACAAGCGGUGGAGCAUGUGGUUUAAUUCGAAGCUACGCGAAGAACCUUACCAGGUCUUGACAUACUGUGCUAACC
RNAcentral lists this non-coding RNA (617 nucleotides) under Secundilactobacillus mixtipabuli. RNAcentral's name for it is "Lactobacillus mixtipabuli Bacterial small subunit ribosomal RNA". It matches the Rfam family "Bacterial small subunit ribosomal RNA", at positions 391 to 998 of the family's 1533-position model. The record is from Rfam by way of RNAcentral. Lineage: Bacteria; Bacillati; Bacillota; Bacilli; Lactobacillales; Lactobacillaceae.